ACGCUCGACACCUACGGGGGGCAGCAGUGGGGGAAUUAUUGCACAAUGGGGGAAACCCUGAUGCAGCAACGCCGCGUGAAGGAAGUCGGUUUCGNUAUAACUNUNUUNUUAGAGAANAUGCGACGGUAGAACGUAAGGANACGACGCCGACGGACUAACUUACGUCGACCAGCCACGGACGUACGUAUGCGGCGGCGGGCGUACGGGACGAAGC
Molecule: ribosomal RNA, 214 nt
Filed under: uncultured bacterium
Lineage: Bacteria
Description: partial 16S ribosomal RNA
Rfam family: Bacterial small subunit ribosomal RNA
Source: RNAcentral